AGCUCCAAUAGCGUAUAUUAAAGUUGUUGCAGUUAAAAAGCUCGUAGUUGGAUUUCUGAUGGAGGCGGCGGUCCGCAGCCACUGGCAGCGAGUACCGUUUGUUUAGCUUUCAUCAUACUUGCGGUGUUUCGGCACCGCAUCGUUUACUGUGAACAAAUUAGAGUGUUUAAAGCAGGCGUUUGCUUGGAUACUUCAGCAUG
Molecule: ribosomal RNA, 200 nt
Filed under: uncultured eukaryote
Lineage: Eukaryota
Description: partial 18S ribosomal RNA
Rfam family: Eukaryotic small subunit ribosomal RNA
Source: RNAcentral